GGGCCAUUAGCUCAGAUGGUUAGAGCGCACGCCUGAUAAGCGUGAGGUCCGCCGUUCGAUUCGGCGAUGGCCCACCA
This 77-nucleotide transfer RNA is filed under the name Candidatus Margulisbacteria bacterium GWF2_38_17. RNAcentral's name for it is "tRNA-Ile". It matches the Rfam family "tRNA". From Rfam's summary of the family: Transfer RNA (tRNA) molecules are approximately 80 nucleotides in length. Their secondary structure includes four short double-helical elements and three loops (D, anti-codon, and T loops). RNAcentral also lists the same sequence under 1 other name. Lineage: Bacteria; Bacillati; Candidatus Margulisiibacteriota. The record is from RNAcentral.